GCCCACAACCCAUAACAUUUCUACGCGGACCUAAGUCGUUGCCGUCGAUUAUUUCCUGCGUGGACCAUCGGACGGUAGAUCCUGCUCCCGCAUAGAAUCGAGAUAGGUCUCUUCUACCUUUCCGAUCCCAAACCCAUCUUUCUCUCUCGAGUUCUUGAUACACGAAUCCUUCUUCCUCCUCUCAGCAUUGUUCUUGGAGUUUGGAGAUGGCGUGGAUCUCGAUCGCCAUGAUCUCUCUCUGGGCGAUCUCUCUGUCUAGUGUGGAGGGUUUUUGUCCUCUCCUUCUUGGGUGACGUCGAAACCAGCAGUCUUUUCUUGUGCAAGAAAAGAAAUGUGUUAUUGCCGGUGGCGCAUCCCGAUGACGAGUCCAUGAGGGGCGUAAUCUUCACACUUUGCAUGUCAAUUGGUAUUAUGCAUGAAUCUAACUAUUCAGAAUGACGUGCACGCUAGCAUUGGGAGUUCUGUUUCAAAGUCAUGUUAUCUAAUUUGUUCAUUGGUGUUUCAAGAUAUCUUGAAUGAUGAAAAAAUGUAGUACAUAUAAGAUGUAUCCUUUUUAAGGCACGGGAGGGUAAGGCCCAUCCAUGGAUUUCAUUAAGUGGAUGAAAUCAAAAGAGUACAGGUGAGGAUGAAGGAGUAAAAUUACACUGAUAGAAGAAGAAACUAGAAGGAACAAUGAAAGAGAGGUAAGGAUAUUGAAUGGAAGAAGAGAAACAUUCGGUGAAGGAGGUGUUGCCAGUGGAGUACAUGGUCAUGUGUGAAAACUAGCCAUGGUUGAAGAGAUGAAGGUGGUGACAUCUCUAAUAGCUUGUGCAAAAAUUUGUUUCCUCUCAUUUCACAUCAUCCAUAGUAUGAUGAAGGGAGAGAGUUCUAUUUUUGCUUUGUGUCUCUAUUUCCAUCAAAAGAUGGAGUGAUGAUAGAUUCAAUAUCUAGUGGAUUGAAGUAAAUGCUAAGACAUCGAUUUAUAACUGCCAUAUUUGAGAGGAGAAGGGGCAUGUGAGUAAGAUAUGCAAAUGUGUUUCUUCUUCACUAUGGCAGCGCACACAGCAAUAUCCUCCUCACUAUGCUGUCAAAAGUUUCUCAUAAAUUGCAAAUCACGCAAUGACAGUGACUUUUUGUGGCAAAUAUAAUUUCCAAAUCUGUUGUGCCCAAGAAUAGGAAUGCCUCUCAGAAUGUAGAUGCUUGUAGGAGUUGACUGAAAAUUUGCCAUUAGGGAUCAUUUCCAAGAAAAGUGAUUCUGGCUUUGGCUUUCCAAGUCAAUCGUGUUAAGCACCAUAUAGAGAAGGUUAGAGUGCUCUUUUCAGUAUGUUGUUCAACUGGUACCAUAAAAAAGUUAGUACGGAGACCUCAAGGUUUCUGGAGAUGGCGGAAAGGGGACUGUCUGAGUACAAGGGGAACUUCGUUGAAUUUAAGUUCCCAAAGGAAGCCAGGCCAAAAUCUGAUGUGUCGACCAUUGCCAAGUCUGAUAAUUCAGGCUACAAAGAAAAACCAACAGAACAUCGCAACACCACUUUUCAGAAGGCCAAUGUAGUUGCAUGCAAAUUCCUGGAGGAGGAGAAUAGCGGUCUUCUAGUGUAGUGUUUUUGGACAAUCACCCUUGGCCAAGGUUGUGGACGCAUACUUUGACUAGAAAAACAGCAACUACUGUGAUUUUUUUCUCGCUAUUAAAUUUCCAGAUCAGUACAAGUACUCUUCGCAAGCAUACUGGCCCUGUGGACAUCUGGUUGUCUAUCUUAUGCUCUCUAUCUAAUCCAAGAAGACAUAUGUAUUGCUUAUCCAACAGCCUUCCACCCAAAAACUAUCUGAGCAAUGGCUGAACAUGAGAUCCAAUGGGUUUGGUUUGGGAGGUUGUUUCUGCUGUUCUCUAGUUACACGAACAUGAACACGCUUCAAAAAAAUCAAUCUCUGGCAUUUCUUGAAUGAAUAAAUUGGCGACCUUCAUUUCAUACAUCGAUUUGAUCUUUACCAUGGAACAACUUCUCUCAUGUAGCAAGUUCCCUCACGGUGUCUCGGGCUUGUCAGAAAAGGCAAUCAUCCAUGGAGCUCAAGCGUUUGUCAUGAUAGUGAUACAAGAUAAGAGUACCAGAUUGAAAGAUUGGCAGCCCGUUGUAACACGUACAUGGUGGAGAUUAUAAUGUAUUGCUUAUAAUCCUGCCAAAAUUGGAGGUCUGUGGUUAGCAAUUUUUGAUGGCUUUAUGUAAUAAUCUCACGAAUAAACGUGUGAAAUCUAGGCCUUAUUAUCUGGAGUCUAUGACUCUUCUGGUUGGAUUCUUUUCCCUUCUACUUCGGAUCGUACUCAUUUUAAUAUCUUACCAACACUAUUCAUGCUUAUAUUUUUAA
Molecule: non-coding RNA, 2337 nt
Organism: Elaeis guineensis (African oil palm)
Lineage: Eukaryota; Viridiplantae; Streptophyta; Magnoliopsida; Arecales; Arecaceae
Source: RefSeq, a predicted model, not a curated record